GAUGAACGCUGGCGGCGUGCCUAAUACAUGCAAGUCGAACGAGGUCUUCGGACCUAGUGGCGAACGGGUGAGUAACACGUUGGUACCUACCCCGAAGUGGGGAAUAACUGCCCGAAAGGGUGGCUAAUACCGCAUAAUACCGCAAGGUUAAAGCAGUAAUGUGCUUCGGGAGGGGCCUGCGUCCCAUUAGCUAGUUGGUAGGGUAAUGGCCUACCAAGGCGACGAUGGGUAGCUGGAUCGAGAGGUUGACCAGCCACACUGGGACUGAGAUACGGCCCAGACUCCUACGGGAGGCAGCAGUAAGGAAUCUUCCACAAUGGACGAAAGUCUGAUGGAGCAACGCCGCGUGCAGGAUGACGGCCUUCGGGUUGUAAACUGCUUUUAUACGGAAAGAUUAUGACGGUACCGUAUGAAUAAGGACCGGCUAACUACGUGCCAGCCGCCGCCGUAA
This 451-nucleotide ribosomal RNA is filed under the name uncultured bacterium. RNAcentral's name for it is "partial 16S ribosomal RNA". It matches the Rfam family "Bacterial small subunit ribosomal RNA", at positions 28 to 523 of the family's 1533-position model. The record is from RNAcentral.